This 492-nucleotide ribosomal RNA is filed under the name uncultured bacterium. Its description in RNAcentral is "partial 16S ribosomal RNA". It matches the Rfam family "Bacterial small subunit ribosomal RNA", at positions 29 to 507 of the family's 1533-position model. The record is from RNAcentral.
AGUGAACGCUGGCGGUAGGCCUAAUACAUGCCAGUCGAACGGCAGCACAGUAAGCUUUUGCCCUUACGGGUGGCGGGUGGCGGAUGGGUGAGGCGUAGAUAGGAAUCUUCUUUUUCGUGGGGGACAUCGGAGGGCAACUGAUGCUACCACCGAAUACGUUUUAAGGGUGAAAUCAGGGGUUCAUGGGACCUUGCCCGCAUGAAUGAGCUGAUGCGGGUUUGGUUAGUUGGUGGGGUAAAGGCCCACCAAGGCGACGUUCCGUAGCUGGUCUGCGAGGAGGAUGGGCCCAAUGGGAACGGGAACACGGUCCAAACUCCAACGGGAGGCAGCAGUGGGGAAUAUUGGACAAUGGGCGAAAGCCUGACGCAGCCAUCCCGCGUGGGUGAAGAAGGCCUUCGGUUUGUAAAGCCCUUUUGUUGGGAAAGAAAAGCAGCAGAUUAAAACCCCCCUGUUCUGACGGUACCCAAAGAGUAAGCACCGGCUAACUUCGUG